Molecule: non-coding RNA, 4453 nt
Organism: Peromyscus maniculatus bairdii (prairie deer mouse)
Lineage: Eukaryota; Metazoa; Chordata; Mammalia; Rodentia; Cricetidae
Source: RefSeq, a predicted model, not a curated record
UCUGCUACCUUCACACUGAUGCACAUAAAAUAAAGCUAGAUAAAUUAUUAAAAUUAUAUUUAAAAAAAUAAGGGGUUGGGGAUUUAGCUCAAUGGUAGAGCGCUUGCCUAGCAAGCACAAGGCCCUGGGUUCAGUCCUCGGCUCCAAAUUAAAAAAUAAAUAAAUAAAUAAAAAUAAAAGAAAAGGAAUGUAGAUACAGGAGACUACCUGGAAGUUAUAUAAAAUUAAGGGACAGUGUAAGAAUAAAAGCAACAUGUCACCUAAAGACAAUUUAAGUAUGUUUCUUUUACAAUUAGAUUCUUUCCCAUCUCUUUCUCGUCCCUUCUUUUCUUAAACAGGUAACUGGGGCUGGCCUCAACUGUAGGAAUAGAAGGAAGCACACAAGUGAAUGAAUGUCUCUUUAGUACAGGACAUUUUCAACAGUUCUUCUUGCUCAUAACCAUUUUUGGUUCCUUAUCCUACUGGAGUUUGUAUGUGACUACUUGUGAACAUGAUUCGGUGUUGCAGACACAAAAGAACCACCAGUCUCUGUUCUGGAUUUGGUUAGUGUUAGAGUCCAAGAGAAGCCCCCAAGAAAGACCAACAGUCACGUAUGCAGUUUAGCAAGAGCAUUUAUUUCCAGCAUGUUGGGGUGGCAUAUAGUGACCCUGAAGGGAGGUUGCAAGCUCCUUUUAAGCAAAGCUAGGGGAAUUCCAGGGAGGAGGGAUUAAUCUGGUGCUGAUUGGUGGAGGAAAGACUAGUCUGGGGUCUGAUUGGUGGGAGGUGGUAGUGGUUAGGGGCCCACUGGUGAUGAGGGUCUAGUGUCUCGGGGCUUGUUGACAAGAGGGUAGAAAAAGCUGUCUUUAGCUAGCAGAAGUCUGGUGGGCAUCUGCUGAGCCGGCAGGAGGUUGUGGGGGGCACCUGUUGAUAGUUGCCCCUAAGUUGUGGUUUUCCUGAGAAUUGCUUGCUCAGCUCCAGCCCUUUCUAGUAAACCAAAACUAAGGCCUGGUCCAUGUCAGGGCUACUAGGGGAGCCUGUUAUGGCCCUGGUUUGGCCACCUGGUUCUCUCAGUCAGUAGGACACAGGAACUCUUUGUGCGUGGCUGUCCCAACCUGUAGAACAUUUAGUGUCCUGACAGUUCUAGUUCAUAAGGCCAGCAGCACCGACUGUCAUUUUGACCACCAGUGAAUGCUUCCUAGGGAGCAGCAGUGGCCUUUGACUAAAGCAGCGCUUGGCGCUGAUGAGACCACAGCUGUGUCCAACAGGAGGGAAGAGGCAAGCAUCAUGGAGGGUGAGUGUGUCUACAGGUCACUAGACAGGACCUGUGAGCACAGGCCUUCCUGUUGAAUUCACUGGAUGCUUACAUUUGUAAAGUGGUUUUUUUUUUGUUUUUUGUUUGUUUGUUUGUUUGUUUGUUUUUUGAGCUGAGGAUCGAACCCAGGGCCUUGCACUUGCUAGGCAAGCACUCUUCCACUGAGCUAAAUCCCCAACCUACAUUUGUAAAGCUUUGAUGGCUAGAUAUUUAUAUGUUCUUAUGUGGGCUGUUAUUAAUCAUAGCAUUGCGCUAUUCUAGUUAAGGAAUGAUAAAUAAAGCUGCAAGUUUUCUUCUUGGUAUACAUUAACAAAAUGAUUCUCGAAUUUCACUACUUGUCAGAAGCACCUGGGAGCUUGUUAAAAUGUGCUCCUAGGCUCCGGCCCUAGGCUUGUUGAUGGAGGAGGUUUGGGACAGGUCUCUGCGUCCAUGAUUCUGAAUGGCAAUGCUGCUACCGAACUGGGAUGCAUAAGUCAAGAGCUUUAUAAUCAACAAUCUCUUUAUACUUUUCCUGUGUUUUAGGGAGUAAUGGACCACAGAAGUUCUGCAUCGAGAAAGUUGGGAAAGAAAAUUGGUUACCCAGAAGCCAUACUUGUUUUAACCGCCUGGACCUCCCACCCUACAAGAGCUAUGAGCAACUGAAGGAAAAACUGUUAUUUGCCAUUGAAGAAACAGAAGGAUUUGGACAAGAGUAACUGUUGAGACCUUAGGCCACCAGAGAACAGGGACUCGUCUCCAGUGCCUGCCCCUUCCUUCUCUGCCUGUUGCACAUCUUAUUGUAAACUUGGACUGUGACUAGAGAGUUAUCCAAGUGUAAGUAGCUUAAUGUUACCGUUGAGAUUUAUCUUCCAGUGAUUCUGGAUUUCUACUCAACGUUUCCAGAAAGCCGAUCUACAAAACAGUAGUCAGAAACUUACUUAACACGAGAUUUAACACAGCGAUGAAAUCUCCAUUGUCUUAUUCCACUAGAUUGUUCCCUUAACAACAGUUUUCUGUGUGUGUCAAAGUCUCACUUGGGAGUAGGUCUCUUGGUGGCUGUUGUCAAGACUCUGCAGACACACUGGGACGACUCCAAAACUGCAAUACACAAGGUCUUCCUGGUAAAGCCUCUAGCUAGGAGGUGCUCGCCAAGAGUGCAAGCUCGGCGGUGGCUGCUGCGGCUGCGGCGGCGGCGGCGGCACUUGGGCAACUGCUGCUUGUGCUCUCCCUCAUUUCCGCCUGGCCUGACUGUUGACUUCUUCCCUGGAGCAGGAACCAGUGCGUCGUUCUGAUGUGACUUCUGGACGUGACGCAGGACUCACAGCUUCUACAAAGUAGAUUUGUCUAUUCGAUUCAGGGAAAACUUGCUCCCCGCCAACCUAUGACUUCAUACCUCUCUUCAUUCAGUUGAUAAUUAUUUUAUUGCCUUGCAAAUACUAAACUUUACAAACAGAAUCAGCACUGUGGUUCCUUCAUGUUUUAGAAGUUAACCCCAAAUCAAAAUUAAAUUGGCUGAAUUCAUCUAUGAUCAUUCUUGAUUUUUAAAUCCUACAUGUAAAUUAAAGCUUUAUGGUUUUAUUAUAAUCCAAAACCCCAGUUACAUUGGAUUAUUGCUAAGGUAUUCAAGUUGCAACCAUUUCUAAUCCAAAUCGAGGUCAUUGGUGCAGUCUUUGAAAUCAGGACAAUAUCAGCAAAAGGACAAUGUCCAGCGGCACAUUUGGGCCGUCGUCUCGUGCCUGGCACACACAGGAGCAGGCGUUUCCAUCUUAUUACAUGGUCCUGAUCUGCAAUAUUUUUCUCACCCCUAAAAAUUUUAGAUUUUCCUUUUUUCUUUUUUCUUCAUGACUCACUUACUUUAGACUGCUCCUUUAGUAACUGAUGAAUGCACUUUGACUUUCUCUGUAGUUAAUUUACCUUGACUUAGUUAGACUGUCAAGAUGGCUGCCGCCAUAGAUACGACUUUAUGGGCAGAGAAAUGAAGCCUCCGCCAAUUGAGUCCCUAUUAUAGCCAAAUCCCAAAACAGCCUUAUAACUCACAGGGACUUUGUGUCGAUAGCAUAGCAUGAACAUGUAGCAUGAAGCCAAGAACACACCGAGAGUGACAGCCCUGUUCCACAGGAGAGAAGGUGUUCCUCUGUCCCUCGCUGCAGUUCUUGCUCAUCCGAGAACAACAAGGUUCUGAACGUGUGCAACUGUACUCUUUACCACUGCCAUGGCCAGUAGAGACACGUGGGACUGAGAACGGGUUCCCUAUCUAGAGACGCUCAGGGAAGGGAAAGCUCAGCUUCUCCCAGCCCUCUUUUUACCCUGGAUACCACAGGAAAUACAUGUCAUCUCUAGAAGCCCUAGUUAUUUCCAAAGUAGGAACUCUCUGCCUUUUUGUUGGUAGGGUUAAAAAUAGAUAUGCUAUUGCUUUGUCUUACAGAGUGAAUGUCUGCCAACUACCCAUUCACUACAUAGGCCUGGACUUUAAUACAUGGCUAUAAGUACUAAGCCUUCUACAAAGACCUCCUAUUGGAUCAAAUUCUUGUACUAAAGUGUAGUCAUCUGCCAUAUCCACUAGAGAUGGAUGAGAUUAAAUUAAGAGAUAAUGUAAGAGAAUAGGCUUUGUUGGUUCUGCAUUCUGCUUCAUGAUUCAUUUAGGGACCUAGAGAUAUUAUGUGAAAAUGUAUAAAUAUCACCCAAAAGGCUUUCUGCCCUAUAUUUUUAAAAAUACAGAAGUUAUAUUUGAAGUAGUCCUGGCCCUAGUUCUAUAGGGCCUGGCUAUUUAAUAUUUUUAUGGAAGAAAUGUUUAGUUCUGGAAAAGGUAAAUGCUUGUAUAUAUUUUUGCAGCCCUGGGGUCUCACAGCUCCAUUCCCCCUUUAAUUUAAUUGGUCAUAUGUAUAUGUCUUCCCUGCUGUGUUAGGAAAAUGGGGGCUGGAUAUCCCAAGAAUCAGAGAUUAUAUAAAAUAAUGCAACUAAACAGCAGACAUAAAUAUUUACCAAAUGCUCUCACAUUUUGGUUCAAAGUGAGUAUUUGGAAAUAGAUUUGUGUUUAAUUAGUGCUUUUCCUUAAAUCUGAACUAAGUUGCUUUUAAGACCUUUUUCUCUGUAAGCAUUGUAAAUGCUAAUCAAUCCUGUUGGUUUUUUUUUUUUUUUUCCCUUACUGCAUGUUACAUUGAAAUAAAAACAGAGUAAAAUGAG